GUUGAUUAAAAAUCACUGUGGCUUUGACUUUCACUGUGGUUAAGCUGGGCUGCCCAGGGCCAGUGAGACCACAGCUCAGUGCUCACUCUCCAGUGUGUGGAGGUCAAACCCAGGCCCUGACAUGC
Small nucleolar RNA from Sorex fumeus (smoky shrew), 125 nucleotides. RefSeq annotates it as small nucleolar RNA ACA64. The record is from RefSeq and is a predicted model, not a curated record. The transcript has a single exon. NCBI's taxonomy places the organism in Eukaryota, Metazoa, Chordata, Mammalia, Eulipotyphla, Soricidae.